Non-coding RNA from Pelobates cultripes (western spadefoot toad), 153 nucleotides. The record is from the annotation of a GenBank genome assembly. Lineage: Eukaryota; Metazoa; Chordata; Amphibia; Anura; Pelobatidae.
GGGACACUGGGAGAUGUGGGGACACUGACACUUGGGGACACAUGUCUAUCUCCACAAGUGCCCCAAUGUCUCCCAGUGUCCCCAAGUGUCUGUGUCCCCAUGCCUCCCAGCCAGUGUCCCUAGUGUCUGUGUCCCCAUGUCUCCCAGUUCCCC